CACAGAUUAGUACAUGAAGUGCGCGCUAUAGUUCGGUGCUAGCUGAACUGUCAAGCUACACUUGGCCGCAAGACAGUCAAAACAAACUAGAAAAACAAAAUGAAUCCUUCUUUCUAUCCUUUAUUCACAGAGUACGGUUAUAACGAAACUUUCUUUCACGUUCACGUAGAAAAGAGAACUACACGAUCACGAAUCACGCAUUACGAAAAUCAUCGAUCACGCACGUUUCACUGCAAAGUAAAAUUUCAAAUUGAUGUCGAGCAACUUAAAUAUG
Paramuricea clavata is the source of this 274-nucleotide non-coding RNA. Lineage: Eukaryota; Metazoa; Cnidaria; Anthozoa; Malacalcyonacea; Plexauridae. The record is from the annotation of a GenBank genome assembly.